GAUGAACGCUGGCGGCGUGCCUAAUAUAUGCAAGUCGAACGAACGGACUCGUAGCUUGCUUCUCUGAUGUUAGCGGCGGACGGGUGAGUCACACGUGGAUUACCUCCCUCUCUGCCUGGUAUAACUUCGGGACACCGUCGCUUAUCCCGGAUGAUAUUUUUAUCCGUAUGGUUCUAGAGUGUAAUUCGGUCUUGCUUUCACUUAUAGCUUGUUCCCCGCUGCAUUAGCUAGUUGGUAAGGUAACGGUCUACCAAGACAACGAUGCAUAGCCGAACUGAGAGGGUGAUCGGCGACACGGGAACUGAGACACGGUCCAGACGACUAAGGGAGGCAGCAGUAGGGAAUCGGCCGCAAUGGGCGAAAGCAUGACGGAGCAACGCCGAGUGAGUGAUGAAGGUCUUCGGAGCGUAAAAAUCGGUUAUGAGGGAAGAACAUAUGUGGAAGUAAAUGUGGACAAAGUGACGGUACCUAAUCAGAAAGCAACGGCUAACUACGUG
RNAcentral lists this ribosomal RNA (497 nucleotides) under uncultured bacterium. Its description in RNAcentral is "partial 16S ribosomal RNA". It matches the Rfam family "Bacterial small subunit ribosomal RNA", at positions 28 to 507 of the family's 1533-position model. The record is from RNAcentral.